ACUUGCUAUUCAUUUCCCAAACAAAAGGCCAUUCAAGAAUUGGAAGCACUUCAAGGGAAAGUUUCUGAAUGACCUCAUUUUAUACGAGGCCUUCCGAGGCAAUGGGGUGCCCUGAGCUGCUUUAGCACCCCUGCCCUCCUCCCGUCUCCUCGCAAACGGAGUUUCCGCCAGUGGUCACUGCCGGAGCACUGAAUUAUCCCUGGCAGUUUUAAAAAAAGCAAAACAAAACAGAACAAACCUCUCGAGAGAAGCAGAGCGCUCAGAAAUGCACUGAUACAGGGAGUGCACACACUGCUCCAACGGGAGAAAUCCUAUUCCCAUCUCCCUUCUCAUCAGUGAACCAGCACACAGGACCCUGACUGCAGAUCUUUCAACAUUUUUGCACAAGUUUAGACCAGAACUUAGAGACAGGGGCCUGCUCUGUUCCGGCAGAUGUUUAUAUGCAAACAGUUCGUCUUCUUCUCCUGCAGACAACUCUGUGUGUUUGAGGACACAUUUCCAUUUUCUAAAUCAUUCCUAGGCAUCAUGUCACGGGGCACAAUCUCUAGAAGCAGCAGGCUGUGGGCCAGGCGACUACAGGUGUGCCAGGGACACUUCCACCCUCCACGGCCACCUUCACAAAAGCGCUUUUCCCCCCAUCUCUCCCCAUCACAUUUUCAAAUUCAAAUUUUAUCAAUAUAGCUGUCACGGUGAAAACAAAACAAAACAAAAACAAUGCGCGGAGAGCCAUGUGGAGCAAGACAGGCCCUGGAGGGGAGUUUCGCAUCACUUCCAGCCAAUAAAUUUGAAAUCCACGGGAACUGAAAUCCACAUGAAUUUUAAGUACCUGGGUGAGCAUCUGACUUUGUGGCCAUGUGUUUGUUCUUGGCUUACCCCAGUUUCAUUAGCAACUUGCAAAAAUAAACAACAGUGCCUUUUUCUGUGCUUAAAAAAAAAAAAACAAACCCUUAAGUGAUACAUGAUAAAGAUACAUUUUCUCAUCUCUGCAAAGAGAUCCCUGAGAAAAUGCUUCCAUCACCAAUCCUAAAUUUAAAAUGACUGUAUUCUGCUCCCCGUCCUCCCACUUUUUGGAAAGCUUCUGGAAUGGUGACGUCAUCACAUUCCUAAAGCGACUUGAGUAAAAUCACACGCCCAUCAAAAUGAAAUCGCCAUUAUUAAACUCCUAUUUCCCAUUUUUACAGGCAUUUUCAGCCAUCGCUCUCUCCACCCCAACCCCAGAACAGCUGCUAACUGGCUUUUUUUUUUUUUUCAAUCUUGGGUUUUUCUGAAUUUAUUUUCAAUAGCGCAAAAAGGCAAAGAUGGUGAAUUUCUCUUCCUUCUGAAGAGACCCUCUAAGGGAAGAUGGGUUCUUUGCAUACAUACCUUCGAGCUCGGAAAGGAGGCGCCCCUCUAGAGUUUCCAGAAGCUUCCAUCCCAAGGGGAUGAAAUGUUAAAAGUGUGGGCCUGUCGGACCCAGAGCCCAACCAGCUCAUGGCUUCCCUCUCGGACUUGGCUUUGCCUUUGCUUCCUUUCUCCAUGACACCGCUGCCUCCUUCCUGACUGUCCCUCACUCGGCCUUCUCUCUCUCGCUCCCUCUUUCUCUCUCAAACGGAAGCCAGACAAUGCCAGAAGCUUUCCUCCACAGCUGCGUGUCUGCGGAGGCAGGUGCCCACAUGAGUGGAGAGGUAGCUGGUGGCUCAUCUGUCAGGGAACUCAAGUUUGCCUUGACCAAGGGCUGAAAAAAAACAAACCAAAAAACACCUCUCAGGGAAGGUCCCCGUGGCCCCUUGAAGAUGCCGAGAUUUGUCCAGCUGUAUCAGGUCCCCUCGUCUGGUGCCAGCCUGGCGGCGGGAACAAAAUGCAUACCUAUCCGAAUGGGGUUUUCAGUUCCCUGGGAAUGUGCCAUAAGACACCCCCACCCCCCAUCCUGUUGUCCCCAACUGGCCAGAGGGUCUCAUCUUACUGCCGCGUGCUGUAAAUUUGAAAAGGAGAAACUACUGCCUGACAAACCCCAACAGCUGAGUGGUAACAGCUGGGUGGCCACAGCCGUUGGCAUAACAUUAGGUCCAGACAGAAAGCAGCAACAGGUGGGGGUGGAAGAGAAAGGGAGUUUUAAGCCUUGCGGGGGGAGGUGGUGCCUGAGACCCCUCUUGGUGAGAAUCAAAAUCUGGACUUGAGAACCCCACUGGCUUGAAUGUUCCUCCUUUUUCUGAACAAAUACAUCUUGUAGAAGAGGAAACCUUAAUGAGACCAAACGCUCGGAUGCCUGUAGAACAAAACACGUGAAUCUGCUUUACCCACAAUGAUCUCAGGACACCCCCCCCCCCAACAAAGAGCUCUCCCUUCCAAGGAUCAGAAGUCAUCUGAUAAUGGUACCUGCAGAUGAUCAGACUCUUUAAGGCAAAUGCUGCUUUUGCCAGAGGAGUGAAAAGGAUGAUGAAGAUUUAAGAACCAGACGUGCUGGAUUCUGCCUGUGAUUCCAUCAGAACAGCCUGACACUGGGACCAUGUCAUUUAAUUUUCGGAUUCGUCAGCUAGACCUUUGUCAUGUGCCAGGCCAUCAUUUCCUGGUAGAUGGCUACAAAAUCAAAAUCUACCGUGAUCCCACAGAUAAGAGGUGCCCUGUGUUAGUUAACCUAAUUAUUACUACAGCAAUUACAUAACCAAGCUAUUAAGUGACACGUAGGUUGAAAAUACAUUAAGGUUUUGAGCACAGGAAAUUUUUUUUCCCCUAUAAUAUGGUUCAAAUCUCUUAACUAUUUUUAGCCCAUGAUAGAGGUUUUUGAAAAUCCCAGCUGAUUUUUCUUUAACUUGGCUUUUGAUGCUAAUUCCCAUGAAAUCCCUUAGGGGGGAAAAAAAUUCUUCAUGAACACUGGUGUAGCUAUCUACACAAGCUAAGUGGAAAUGCAUUAUCUUGUCUCAUCUCUGCAGCUGAGGGUAAACCUUUGUUACCAAUCGCUUAGCCUCUCAAUACUCUCUGGUACAGGCUACUGGCUACACUUGCACUCGUUCACAGGAAUACCGCCAAGUGAGGGAGAAGCAGCGAUGUGAGCGACCUGAUGGUCCGAGGAAGAAAGGGAACCACUUAAGGAUGUUGUGCAAAUUUGCUUUAAUAGCAAAGACAAAACCAGGCUGUUCUAACGACCACGUUCCUCUCCCGCUCCCUCACCCAUCCUUCAAGCCCCGCCCCUGUAUUAUACACCACUUGAUACUGUCUUAGCCAUUCUGUUCCCUCUCUGUUUCAUGCAGCUUCUUAACAACUGAGACUAUGUCCUGUAUAGUGUAUGUGUUGCUUGGUUGGUUCUGAUUACAGUAUGACAAACCUUGACCCCUUAUGCAGAUAAAAACUCACAUUUCGGUUUCAUCAUGCUUCAAAUUUGUCUAUUCUCCCUUCCAAAUCUGUUCCCAUUAUACAGAUAGAAGCUGAGAAAAGUGAAGCACAGGUGCUUUGAUUCAAAGACCUCAUGGACUAUAAAGGAAACCAAGAUGGAUCCAAGUGGGAGUUGUUAGAAGCAAAAAGAAGUGUGGUUUUUCCCCUUUUUCACUGCACCACCUACUCAGUACAAAACCAGACGACACAUACAAAUCAAAGUGCACCGCGGAAAUUCAGCACCGGGGGAAAUACAACGCGUUCAAGCAUCAAAUCUCCAAUAUUUAUCCUUUCACGGUGGCCAAGGAAGGAGCUUGCUUGAGUCCUGACUAAGGAUCUCAUCUACCCUGAGCUGUGGGUCUGGGGGCCCAUUAUUUUCCCUCUGUCAGACUCAGUUUUUUCAUCUUUGAAAUGGGAAUAAUAUAACUGCCACGAACUCUUGGAUAUCUGUGAGGAUUCAGUUCCAUAAAAGAGAUCACCGAGUGUAGUGCCAGGUACAGAGCUGAUUAUCAGUAAACCUUUGAUUUAUUCCUUGCUGCCAAUCAUGACACUUGCACCCCAUGAUCUCUGUUUAAAUCUGGGACGGGCAUAUGGGAAGGAAAAGAGAAAGCCGGUCCUGAUCCUAUUGUUCACGCAGCAGUAAAGUUUUCACUGAUAUUUCUAAGUCCAGCAGCUCAGCCCAGAGGGGGGACGAAGGGUAGGAGGGCAGGCACCAAGCAUCCCAGGGCUGGGGAUGCGGGCUCCGCCCCUUUUUCAUCAAGUCAGUUUCUGAAGAGAAAGUCAAAAUGCAUCCUAACUGCCGCCACCGGGAAUUCGUGCCACCCAUCACCAACUCAGUGCGUUUUCACUUACAGAGAUGCUUUCUAAAUCAUCUCUGAACAAAGGGGGAAGCUAUCUCACAGAACCCGAAAGAGAACUGGGGUCCCAGAUCAAGAUGGUCAAAAAGAAAGGCAUGACAACGACCACAGUGUGGCAGGGGCCCCUGCAGCCCUGGAUCACUGAGAUGGGCAGCUUUUCAGGAGGGCGGCACCAGGUUCUCGGCACCCCUGCAAGUCACUUCACACACAAGCCGGAAGCUGGCAAUGCCGCCCACAAGUUUCCACCCAGCUUUUUUUUUACCAAUCGCAGCUGCAACCUUUCUCCAGAUGGGGAUUCAAAAAGCCACUGAUACUAGAGGUGGAUCAGCCUUAUAACUUCCAACCUGACGCUCUUCUUGUCCAUGACAAAGUUGGCUGAACCAAAUGGUCAUGCAGGAAAAUUCUGGUUUUUGUUUUUCUCCAAGGGCAUGCUGGCAAGCCCUGCUUCAUAAACGGCAGUGACGUAUCUCCACCGCAGGCAGCCAAUCACAGGAGGGUCGGCACGGAUGGGGAGGAGGUGGCAGCUGAGCUGCCCUGGUAAGACAUGGCACUCUGGGCUGCUGUCACCCUCUCCCCACAGAUGCCAUUCCCUGCGAGCCAUGUGGUCUUGACAUACAAGAAAAUGCCCUGGGAUCUGUCCUCAGCAGAAGAAAGCUGGGAAUCAGAUCAACAUAUCUGCACAUAACAAUCCCUAAUGACAUCGCAUGACGCAGAAGGCUGCAUGUGGGAACAAAGGGUGCCUCAUCCCAAAUCAGGGUGAACCAGCACAUCUCUGAGUUGAGUAGAGGUUCAAACACACACACACACACACACACACGCUCUGCUGUCCCAGCCUGACCUCUGUAGAUGGGUACCAUGUGAUCAAAAAGGUGUUUCGGCUCUAGGACACUUCGUUUUCGGGGCUUAAUGGGCAACAACAUUAAAACCUCACAUAUGCGUUCCUUCCUCCGACACUCUCUUCCCCAUGUCAGUUCAGGGAAAUGCCACAGAUUUUAAUCCUCUCCCCAAACCACUGCCUCAUCUUCCCUACAGAAUAAAAGUCACUGCGAAGUUAGAAAAAUUCCCAAAGCCAGUAAUCACCAAGAGAGAAGCAAUCAAUAGUUUGAUGAAAGGAGAACUUCCCUGCCCCCACAAAUCCCCCAGGAAUUACCAAAAGGUAGAAAGAAAUGCAAUGAAGGCUCGUCCAGAUGAUCUAAGAUGUCAUCGCAACUGAGUGGAAUACACGUGUUUCUGUCUGAAAACGUGCAGAUAAAGGCCGUGGAGAUGCUCCUAACGAACUGCAUUCUGCUGAUGACUUUUCCAGAAAGCUCUACGCCAGCGACAAAGUUGCUUGUUUCUUAGUUUCCUCGCAACCACAAUUACAGCAAAUCAAGGUACGUCUUUCAUCGACAGGCUCUGACCCCGUAAAACGGAGCCGUCAUUCCCCUGUGACACUCUUCCUUUUGUAUUUUACCUUCUUUUCAUCACCCUAGGUGUUUCUAGGACUGCGAGCAAGGAACUAUCCAUCAGCUACAUUUUCACCUAAUUAACCGCCCUGAUUACAAUAAUUAGUAUUGAUUCCCCCUUUGAAUGACUUCCUAGGUAUUCCAGCACAGUCUGCUCUUGCACUCAAGUUCUAGAUAUGAAUAUUAAUCAAAUGCCUUUCUUUGUUUUUUUUUU
RNAcentral lists this long non-coding RNA (5864 nucleotides) under Sus scrofa (pig). RNAcentral's name for it is "lncRNA (ENSSSCG00015060172.1)". Lineage: Eukaryota; Metazoa; Chordata; Mammalia; Artiodactyla; Suidae. The record is from RNAcentral.